UCUUAUCUCACAUGUUUACAAGUUAAAAUGUGGAGCAGAGGGUAUACAACCCAAACAAGUUUGGCACUCUGAACGAUUUAACUCAAGUGAGCAUUGUGCGAGGCCAU
RNAcentral lists this microRNA precursor (107 nucleotides) under Oryza sativa (Asian cultivated rice). RNAcentral describes it as "miR2101 stem-loop (osa-MIR2101)". Lineage: Eukaryota; Viridiplantae; Streptophyta; Magnoliopsida; Poales; Poaceae. The record is from miRBase by way of RNAcentral.